Pangasius djambal is the source of this 72-nucleotide non-coding RNA. Lineage: Eukaryota; Metazoa; Chordata; Actinopteri; Siluriformes; Pangasiidae. The record is from the annotation of a GenBank genome assembly.
UCCCUGGAGGACGAGUGGUCAGGCUUUGGCGCUCUCACGGCCACGGCCCAGGUUCGCUUCCCGGCCAGGGAA